Long non-coding RNA from Aedes aegypti (yellow fever mosquito), 735 nucleotides. RefSeq lists it as uncharacterized. NCBI's taxonomy places the organism in Eukaryota, Metazoa, Arthropoda, Insecta, Diptera, Culicidae. The transcript is spliced from 3 exons. The record is from RefSeq and is a predicted model, not a curated record.
UUUUUCGGGAGAACGGUUUGUAGAGUGUGAACGACCCCGGUACCCACGCCGCGAUUUGACGUUUUCAUAAUCUCAUAAUUUUUCUUCGCCCCCUUUUCUCAGUUUCGCGUUUUGUUUUUGUUUACAUCAACAGUUUUGAACUUGUUUUUCUUCGAACUUUUCCUCGGUCAUGUUUGUUUUGGCGAUGUAGCUGGAGUCCGCGUUCGCGUUUUUCUCCUGUGCUUUUCCGCGUUUUCCGUGGUUUCUGUCGUGAAAAUGUUACGAAAAGCAGAAUAAAACGGCCCGAUUCCCAAAGGAGGCAGUUAUCGUCGAGUACCACAAACGUCCAGUGCACCAGCUUCCGAUCUGGCUCAUCCAAAGGAUUUCCUCAUUUAUAUAAUGAAGCAGCAGAUUUUGUGCUCCGGCUUCCGAGUUUGCCGGUUUCUGGGAUGUGGGACAAGAGCUUCAGCCUGUAUCCAUCCAUCCCAUUCGAAACAUCACGCCAAACGGAGGACCUAUUCAUCGAACGGAACCAAUAGGUCGAGUACCAUUAAUCGGAUCAUAACAAAUGGUUCCGAUGUAUGUAUCGAACACAUCGCAUUCUCUAGGUCAUGGUCCAGCCAGGGGACUGAUUCGGCAUUUCAUUCGUAUGAGUAUAGAGCAUAUAAGUUUCAUAAUUAUUGAAUAUCAAAUGUGAUACGUUAUAAUAUGUUCAAAUAAAUUAUUAGUGCUGUGUAAAAUCACAGGUAUUGAGCA